ACUGCUGUAGACCACUGAGGCAGGCCAGAGAGCAGACAGGUGCUAAGCACCAGUGACAUUCUGAGGUCAUGGCACGAAUCACAGUGGGGCCUUGCCCGGGUCAGCAGCGCCCAGAGUCAGGGUCCUCCGCUGCCUGAGGCGUCAACAUGCCUGCCUGCAAUGUGUUUGUGCACGUGCGUGCACAUGUGUAUGUGGGGCCUAGGGGAUGCCGAAUUCCAGGGUCCAGAAAGAGCUUGGGAUAAAAAGAAACUUCAAGGGGACGGCUUUGACCUGGGCUGAGUCUACCUGUGCCAUCCAACUGGAGUCUCAAGUCCUGAGGCAGGACGUCCAGAUGCCCCAGUGCAGGGUCCUCCUGAUCAACACCUGCUCCCCUGUACUCAUUAGCAACCUCACCCACCCUACUCUCAAAGCACACUUGGCUCUCGUAUCCAGGAGCUCUGCAUCUGUAGAUUCAGCAACAGCAGAUGGAAAAUAUUCAGAAAAUAAAUUGGACGGUUAUGUUUCUAUUGAACAUGUGCAGACUUUGUUCUUGUCAUCAUUCCCUAAAGAAUACAGUAUCACGACCAUUUAUGUAGCAUCUGCAUUGUAUUACACAUC
This 597-nucleotide long non-coding RNA is filed under the name Homo sapiens (human). RNAcentral's name for it is "HSALNT0389513". The record is from RNAcentral. Lineage: Eukaryota; Metazoa; Chordata; Mammalia; Primates; Hominidae.